Macaca mulatta (Rhesus monkey) is the source of this 761-nucleotide non-coding RNA. NCBI's taxonomy places the organism in Eukaryota, Metazoa, Chordata, Mammalia, Primates, Cercopithecidae. The record is from RefSeq and is a predicted model, not a curated record.
GGAGGAGCCACAGAGCUCGUAAUUGCUGUGGGGAGGACAGGCCAGCUCUGGAAGAAAACAGGAGUUAAAUAAUUGAGCAAGCAUUACUAUUCUGGAGCAUUUCCAACCAGAAGAGGACCAAGGGAGCAGAGAGAGGGUUGUGGGGGCCAAGACAUAACCCAGACCAUCCUGACUGAUGCAAUAGCGCUCAGUGUCAUCUGCCAUUGUUAUUGCAGAGUUUUAAGCAGGGAUUUUUGUCUAUUUUUCAACAAAGUUCCUGCCUUUGAAGAAUACAUACUCUGUCAAAAGGAAGACAGAUCAUAAACAAGGAAGUGAUUGACAGAAAAGAUGAUUUAAGAGACUGACAGAUACUUCAAAGGAGAGAAAAUUAGAAGGGUUACAGUAGAGAGAGGCUAGGAGUGGUGGCCUUUUCAUGUGUAUGGUCAGGGAGGGCUUCUUGGAGAAGGUGACAUUUGCACUGAGACUUCAAGGAUGAGAAUGAUCAGUUACAUAAGGACCUCCAGGAAGAGUGUUUAAGGCAGAGGAAACAGCCUGUGCAAAGGCCCUGAGGUGGGAGCCUCCCUGGGGUACGGGAGGACACUAGGAGGUCAUUGUGGCUGCUGCAGAGUGAGUGAGGGGCAGGUGGGAGGGGACAAGGGCAGAGAGGCCACCGUUUCACUCUUAGUGAGGUGGAGCCGUGGGAGGGCUUUGAGACGGAAGGAAUGUGACCUGAGCUUGUUUCUUUUUCUUUUUUUCUUAACCGUUUUUUUUUUUUUUUUUUU